CAGUUAUGGUUCCUUUGAUCGCUCCAUUUGUUACUUGGAUAACUGUGGUAAUUCUAGAGCUAAUACAUGCCGACGAGCGCUUUUGCACCCUGCUCUCUCUUAUGCUGUGCUGGUGCCUUUGUGCGACCACCGCCUCUUCCUCCAAACUGCACACGUCACUCGCAUGACCUUGAUUCCAUGUGGGGUCUUCCUCCCCCCUACAUUAUUUAAAUAAGCCAUUG
Molecule: non-coding RNA, 221 nt
Organism: Pelobates cultripes (western spadefoot toad)
Lineage: Eukaryota; Metazoa; Chordata; Amphibia; Anura; Pelobatidae
Source: the annotation of a GenBank genome assembly